This 352-nucleotide unclassified non-coding RNA is filed under the name soil metagenome. RNAcentral describes it as "partial contains 5.8S ribosomal RNA, internal transcribed spacer 2, and large subunit ribosomal RNA". The stretch from base 1 to 120 matches the Rfam family "5.8S ribosomal RNA", at positions 35 to 154 of the family's 154-position model. The record is from RNAcentral.
GAUGAAGAACGCAGCGAAAUGCGAUAAGUAAUGUGAAUUGCAGAAUUCAGUGAAUCAUCGAAUCUUUGAACGCACAUUGCGCCCGCCAGUAUUCUGGCGGGCAUGCCUGUCCGAGCGUCAUUUCAACCCUCGAACCCCUCCGGGGGGUCGGCGUUGGGGAUCGGCCCUUUCACCGGGUGCCGGCCCCUAAAUACAGUGGCGGUCUCGCCGCAGCCUCUCAUGCGCAGUAGUUUGCACACUCGCACCGGGAGCGCGGCGCGUCCACGUCCGUAAAACACCCCAAACUUCUGAAAUGUUGACCUCGGAUCAGGUAGGAAUACCCGCUGAACUUAAGCAUAUCAAAAGCGGAGGA